Molecule: ribosomal RNA, 454 nt
Filed under: uncultured bacterium
Lineage: Bacteria
Description: bacterial SSU rRNA
Rfam family: Bacterial small subunit ribosomal RNA
Source: RNAcentral
UACGGGAGGCAGCAGUGGGGAAUAUUGCACAAUGGGCGCAAGCCUGAUGCAGCCAUGCCGCGUGUAUGAAGAAAGGCCUUCGGGUUGUAAAGUACUUUCAGUCGUGAGGAAGGUGUUAAGGUUAAUAACCUUAGCAAUUGACGUUAGCGACAGAAGAAGCACCGGCUAACUCCGUGCCAGCAGCCGCGGUAAUACGGAGGGUGCGAGCGUUAAUCGGAAUUACUGGGCGUAAAGGGCACGCAGGCGGUUAAUUAAGUUGGAUGUGAAAUCCCCGGGCUUAACCUGGGAAUGGCAUUCAAGACUGGUUAGCUAGAGUCUUGUAGAGGGGGUAGAAUUCCAUGUGUAGCGGUGAAAUGCGUAGAGAUGUGGAGGAAUACCGGUGGCGAAGGCGGCCCCUGGGACAAAGACUGACGCUCAUGUGCGAAAGCGUGGGGAGCAAACAGGAUUAGAUACC